RNAcentral lists this ribosomal RNA (484 nucleotides) under uncultured bacterium. Its description in RNAcentral is "partial 16S ribosomal RNA". It matches the Rfam family "Bacterial small subunit ribosomal RNA", at positions 28 to 523 of the family's 1533-position model. The record is from RNAcentral.
GACGAACGCUGGCGGCGUGCUUAACACAUGCAAGUCGAACGAUGAAGCUGGAGCUUGCCCCGGUGGAUUAGUGGCGAACGGGUGAGUAACACGUGAGCAAUCUGCCCUUGACUCUGGGAUAACUGCGGGAAACUGUAGCUAAUACCGGAUACUUUCACUGGAAGGCAUCUUCUGGUGAAGAAAGAAUUUCGGUCAAGGAUGAGCUCGCGGCCUAUCAGCUUGUUGGGGGGGUAACGGCUCACCAAGGCGACGACGGGUAGCCGGCCUGAGAGGGUGACCGGCCACACGGGGACUGAGACACGGCCCAGACGCCUACGGGAGGCAGCAGUGGGGAAUAUUGCACAAUGGGCGCAAGCCUGAUGCAGCAACGCCGCGUGAGGGAUGAAGGCCUUCGGGUUGUAAACCUCUUUUAGCAGGGAAGAAGCGAAAGUGACGGUACCUGCAGAAAAAGCACCGGCUAACUACGUGCCAGCCGCCGCGGCAA